UCCAAAUGACACAAUAUUGGAAGCGCCCUCAAUUUGCUAGUACCUGUUAGUUUUAUCUUCAUCUAAUAAUUCAUUAGAUUUUUUUUUUAAUAUUCAAAUUCAAAAGAAAUUAAAUUUUAGAAAAAAAAUUUAUAACAUUUGAACAAAUAUAAAAAUGAUAUAUGGCGAUGAAUUAAGACUACUUAGCGAGACGCAUGUUAUUGGGAGCUGCCACUGAAGU
RNAcentral lists this long non-coding RNA (220 nucleotides) under Ananas comosus (pineapple). RNAcentral describes it as "long non-coding RNA (ACOM_LNC042563)". The record is from RNAcentral. Lineage: Eukaryota; Viridiplantae; Streptophyta; Magnoliopsida; Poales; Bromeliaceae.